GGCCGGGCAGCUCCGGGGAACGUGUCGGAGCAGAUUUCUUCCCUGGCGCAUUCCUCAGCGCAGCUCGCCGGGCCGGCUCCAUCGGCAGCCCAGCAGAGCCGGCGCGCCGGAGCCAGACGGCGGGGGUGGCUGAGGCGCGGAGCCCCGGGGCAGGCGGGGCGGGGAGGGGUCCCUGGCGACGGCGGCGCUCGGGCCCCUUCCUUACCUGGAAAGGGAGACUUCCAGAGGUGGGCGGACUGCGACUGCUCCUUGGAGCAAUACACCUGACUGUCCCAGCCGUUGGAGAGAGCCCAAUGCUGGUAGCCUUCGACGGGGAUGAGCGCGUCGUGACGCGGCUCUGGGUGCCCGCUGAUCCCAGGCACCACCGACACGUCCAGGGUCACCUCAGUGACUGAAAAACAGGCUUUGGGCUGGGCUGGCAGGAGGAGGAAAAGACAGGAGAGAGGCUUGAAACGGGCACGAUGCGGCCAAAUUUUAGCGACGAGAGGAGAGGCAGCCAAAGUCUCCUUCAUCAAGAAGACCAGCCAAGGAAGAUGUAGGCCCCCCAAGAGAUCUGGGGGUGUGGGAAGGCUGGAGGAAGAGAAAGUCUAGGGCUACGGGGGUUAAAAGCGUCCGGAGAAGUGUCCGCAUACUCUGAACCAUUCCCGGCUCUUUCGCUGGGUUCCCGAAGACAUUUCGCGCCUGAAACUGGUUCCACGACAGGGGCGCGUCGGGAGCGGGGAGGGAGGCGGCUGUGCAGGCGCCUUCGGGCAGGCGGUGAAAAGUAAAGCCUGGUUGGUUAAUUAACUUUAAGCCUGGGGUCGCUUCUCCCUCCUCCCCCGAAAAAAAAUGUGGAUCUCGCUGAGACACAAAUAAAACCAAAUUAAA
Molecule: long non-coding RNA, 867 nt
Organism: Acinonyx jubatus (cheetah)
Lineage: Eukaryota; Metazoa; Chordata; Mammalia; Carnivora; Felidae
Exons: 3
Source: RefSeq, a predicted model, not a curated record